This 76-nucleotide transfer RNA is filed under the name Candidatus Peregrinibacteria bacterium CG10_big_fil_rev_8_21_14_0_10_55_24. RNAcentral describes it as "tRNA-Val". It matches the Rfam family "tRNA". Rfam says of the family: Transfer RNA (tRNA) molecules are approximately 80 nucleotides in length. Their secondary structure includes four short double-helical elements and three loops (D, anti-codon, and T loops). Further hydrogen bonds mediate the characteristic L-shaped molecular structure. tRNAs have two regions of fundamental functional importance: the anti-codon, which is responsible for specific mRNA codon recognition, and the 3' end, to which the tRNAs corresponding amino acid is attached (by aminoacyl-tRNA synthetases). tRNAs cope with the degeneracy of the genetic code in two manners: having more than one tRNA (with a specific anti-codon) for a particular amino acid; and 'wobble' base-pairing, i.e. permitting non-standard base-pairing at the 3rd anti-codon position. RNAcentral also lists the same sequence under 3 other names. The record is from RNAcentral. Lineage: Bacteria; Candidatus Peregrinibacteriota.
GGGCGGCUAGCUCAGUGGUUAGAGCGUUCGGUUCACAUCCGAAAGGUCGUAGGUUCAACUCCUAUGCCGCCCACCA